UGUGAAUCGUCAGUGGGUAGCGUUCCUUCCGCCAUUUUGAUUUUUUUCUCCCUUGUAGGUGGCCGAAUUGAGCUGCGAGCCUUCCAUCCUCACGGCGCCGGGCAUCGUCCAGAUCAAUCACCACCCACUAAACUCGGAACAUGUCCGCCAGCAGGAACCUCAAGCAAGUGAGGAUCGAGAACAGCUCCCCGGCGGCAGCCCCUCCAAUGAGCAUGGUGGGCGGCGGCAGUAUGAAAGGGCUGCGGGGACUGGAGCAGCAGCCGCCGCCGCCACCUGAGAACGAAGCAGCGGCCAUGGGGAUGGUCAAGGAGGAAGAGGAGGCGAGCAGCGGCGGCUUCACCGUCGACAUCAAGAGCUUCCUCAAGCCCGGGGAGAAGAGCUACACGCAACGCUGCCGCCUCUUCGUGGGGAACCUGCCCACCGACAUCACCGAGGAAGACUUCAAGCGCCUUUUCGAGCGUUACGGGGAGCCCAGCGAGGUCUUCAUCAACCGAGACCGCGGCUUCGGCUUUAUUCGCCUGGAAUCACGGACUUUGGCUGAAAUUGCAAAGGCAGAACUUGAUGGAACUAUUUUGAAGAGCAGACCACUACGAAUUCGAUUUGCUACCCAUGGCGCUGCUUUAACAGUAAAGAAUCUUUCACCUGUUGUUUCCAAUGAGCUUCUGGAACAAGCUUUCUCUCAGUUUGGCCCUGUGGAGAGAGCUGUUGCUGUUGUAGACGACCGUGGCAGAGCGACUGGAAAAGGCUUUGUAGAAUUUGCUGCUAAACCUCCAGCUCGGAAAGCCCUAGAAAGAUGCAGUGAUGGAGCAUUUCUGCUAACAACAACUCCUCGACCUGUUAUUGUAGAACCUAUGGAACAAUUUGAUGAUGAAGAUGGGCUACCUGAGAAAUUAAUGCAAAAGACUCAACAGUAUCAUAAGGAAAGAGAGCAGCCACCACGUUUUGCCCAGCCUGGGACUUUUGAGUUUGAGUAUGCUUCUCGGUGGAAGGCACUUGAUGAAAUGGAAAAGCAACAGCGGGAGCAAGUUGAUAGAAACAUCAGAGAAGCAAAAGAGAAACUAGAGGCAGAAAUGGAAGCAGCUCGGCAUGAACAUCAGUUAAUGUUGAUGAGACAAGAUCUUAUGAGGCGUCAGGAAGAACUGAGACGUUUGGAAGAACUUCGAAAUCAGGAGCUACAGAAACGAAAGCAAAUACAAUUGAGACAUGAAGAAGAGCAUAGACGGCGUGAAGAAGAGAUGCUUCGCCAGAGAGAACAGGAAGAACUGAGGAGACAGCAGGAGGGAGGAUUUAAGCCAAAUUUCAUGGACAAUGAAACUAUUACAGUGCUGAUGCUGAAGUGCUGUUGAAGGCGUAUAGUCACCAGCAUGCUGUCCCAGGGAUAAAGCAGUGAAACACCUUGGAUCCAUUGCAGUUGCAGGUUGGAAGAGACCUAUUAAGAAAUUGAUUCAAUGUUUAUCUUGAAGAAGUGAUCAUGGAACUCUUCGCCGCAGAGUGUCUCGAUUGAUUGUAAACAGCCUGCUUAAUCAUACCAGGGGUCCAUUUCACACAGAGGUCAACAAUUUGCUCUGGUGAGCCAAACGAACAGGGCAUGGAGAGGCUGGGGCCCUCUGAUGCUCCCUCUCAGUGCCAGUAUUCAAAAGUUUGCUGCCUCAGAGGAGGGGGGCUCCCUUCAGUCAUCAUGGCUGGUAGCCAUUGAUGAACCUCUCCUCCAUGAAUCUGUCUGACCCACUUUUAAAGUUGUCUACGCUCAUGGCCAUCAACACCUCCCUUCAUAAUUCCGCCAUUUAUUUAGAGUAAAGAAAUACUUGUCCUGAACCUAUUUCCUAACAAUUCCAUUGGGUACCCCCAAAUUCUAGUUUUAUGAGAAAGGGAGAAAAAGCUUUCUCUGUCCAGUUUCUCCACACCUUGCAUAAUUUUAUAAACAGCUGCCACAACUGCAGUGUGUUCUAAAUGGGGCUGCACCAUGGAUCUAUACAGAGGUGUUAUAUUGGUCUUUUUAUUUUCAGUCCCCUUCCUAAUAAUUCCUAGAAAGCAGUUUGUCUUUUUCACAGCUGCUACACACUGCACUGACAUUUUCAUCCAGCUUUUCACUACAAGCCCAAGAUGUUUUAGUCUCAGCCAGUUCAGACUAUCAGCAUAUAUUUGAAAUUAGGAUUUUUUGUUUCAAUGUGCACUAUUUUAUAAUUAACCUACAUUGAACUUCAUUUGCCAGUUUCCUACUCACUCAAUUUAGAGAUAUCCUCCUGUAACAUUUAAUCUGCUUUGAUUUUCACUAGCCUGAAUAAUCUAGUAUUGUCUGCAAACGUGACUACAAUGUUCACCUUCUAUUCCCAAUUAUUUUUGAACAAAUUAAAUAGCACUGGCCCCAAUACGAAUCAUUGUAGGAGCCCAGCUGCUCACCUCCCUCCAUUACAAGAACUGUCCAUUUACUCCCACCCAUUUUGCCUGCUGUUAAUCGAUUAGAGGGCAAGUCUUUUUACCCGUAACUGCUAAAUUUGCAACUGAGAGAAAUCAGGUUUGGGCUGUGGUGUCACCAAUAUACAGAUGAUACCUUUCUUUUCCAUCUAAUUCCAAGGAUGCUGUUUAUAUUCUGAACCAGUGCUUGGAAUCAGUAAUGGGCUGACACACCACUCACUGUAGAAAGCCAGGUGGCUGCAGUGGUUCAGCCUACGUUUGCCCUAGCAUUAGGUGUCCCAUUCACUGCAGCCAUUUCUGCUUCAGUCAGCUCUAGCCAGUGAUCCAUGCCUUAGUUACAUCUCUGUUGGACUAUUGCAGUGCACUCUUACAGCUACCCUUAAAAAUGGCUCAGAAGUAGUACAGCUCUUUAUGUUCGUGGAGACUUUGAUGUUGCCCUUGAUUAUAAAGUGGUAACAUGCCUUAGAUAAUGUAGGGUGCUGCUGGAGUGGCCCAUUUUUGCAAUUAGUCACUGAAAAUAGUGCACGACUUGAUGACCAUUUUUUGUUUCCUACAUCUUUUCCUGCUUUUGAAAAUGGGUACCUCAUUAAAGUAUUUAACUUGC
Molecule: RNA transcript, 3019 nt
Organism: Eublepharis macularius
Lineage: Eukaryota; Metazoa; Chordata; Lepidosauria; Squamata; Eublepharidae
Gene: PSPC1
Gene name: paraspeckle component 1
Exons: 8
Source: RefSeq, a predicted model, not a curated record